UACGGAGGGUGCAAGCGUUGCUCGGAAUUACUGGGCGUAGAGCGCGUGUAGGCGGUCAAAGAAGUCUGGUGUGAAAUCCCUCGGCUUAACCGAGGAAGUGCGCCGGAAACCAUUUGACUAGAGAAUCGGAGGGGAGCGUGGAAUUCCCAGUGUAGAGGUGAAAUUCGUAGAUAUUGGGAGGAACACCGGUGGCGAAGGCGACGCUCUGGACGAUUUCUGACGCUGAGACGCGACAGCGUGGGUAGCAAAC
RNAcentral lists this ribosomal RNA (250 nucleotides) under uncultured bacterium. Its description in RNAcentral is "partial 16S ribosomal RNA". It matches the Rfam family "Bacterial small subunit ribosomal RNA", at positions 524 to 773 of the family's 1533-position model. The record is from RNAcentral.